RNAcentral lists this small nuclear RNA (105 nucleotides) under Procavia capensis (Cape rock hyrax). The record is from RNAcentral. Lineage: Eukaryota; Metazoa; Chordata; Mammalia; Hyracoidea; Procaviidae.
GUGUUCACUUCCACAACACAUAUACUAAAACUGAAACAAUACAGAGAUUAGCAUGGCCCCCUGUGCAAGCAUGACACACAAAUUUGUGAAGUGUUCCAUAUUUUU